UACAGAGGUCUCAAGCGUUGUUCGGAUUCACUGGGUUUAAAGGGUGCGUAGGAGGGCAGGUAAGUCAGUGGUGAAAUCUCCGAGCUUAACUUGGAAACUGCCGUUGAUACUAUCUGCCUUGAAUAUUGUGGAGGUGAGCGGAAUAUGUCAUGUAGCGGUGAAAUGCUUAGAUAUGACAUAGAACACCAAUUGCGAAGGCAGCUCGCUACACAUAUAUUGACUCUGAGGCACGAAAGCGUGGGGAUCAAACAGG
Molecule: ribosomal RNA, 253 nt
Filed under: uncultured bacterium
Lineage: Bacteria
Description: partial 16S ribosomal RNA
Rfam family: Bacterial small subunit ribosomal RNA
Source: RNAcentral